UUACAUGCGCAGUGGCAAUAUGGUAGUCUGUGAGGUUGAACUGAGGCACGAUCAUUACUAGUUGAAAACUUGUUUCUCCAAGUGA
Crocodylus porosus (Australian saltwater crocodile) is the source of this 85-nucleotide small nuclear RNA. Its record names the gene U4. It matches the Rfam family "U4 spliceosomal RNA". From Rfam's summary of the family: U4 small nuclear RNA (U4 snRNA) is a component of the major U2-dependent spliceosome. The structure of U4 snRNA from yeast and human has been reported. The record is from Ensembl. NCBI's taxonomy places the organism in Eukaryota, Metazoa, Chordata, Crocodylia, Crocodylidae.